Molecule: non-coding RNA, 186 nt
Filed under: Desulfosudis oleivorans Hxd3
Lineage: Bacteria; Pseudomonadati; Thermodesulfobacteriota; Desulfobacteria; Desulfobacterales; Desulfosudaceae
Also listed under: 1 other name
Source: RNAcentral
UCAAUUUAAUUGUUAUCAGGUGCAAUCAAGCAUAAAAGGGAAUCCCGUGAAAAUCGGGAGCGGACCCGCCGCUGUAAUCGGGGACGAAAGCCGCAGAAUGUCACUGCUUCAUUCAAGUGAAGUGGGAAGGCGCGGCCGGUAGGAUGAUCCGGGAGUCAGAAGACCUGCCUGGUGACGGGUUUUCCG